Molecule: ribosomal RNA, 490 nt
Filed under: uncultured bacterium
Lineage: Bacteria
Description: partial 16S ribosomal RNA
Rfam family: Bacterial small subunit ribosomal RNA
Source: RNAcentral
AUUGAACGCUGGCGGCAGGCCUAACACAUGCAAGUCGAACGGUAACAGAAAGCAGCUUGCUGCUUUGCUGACGAGUGGCGGACGGGUGAGUCAUGUCUGGGAAACUGCCUGAUGGAGGGGGAUAACUACUGGAAACGGUAGCUAAUACCGCAUAACGUCGCAAGACCAAAGAGGUGGACCUUCGGGCCUCUUGCCAUCGGAUGUGCCCAGAUGGGGUUAGCUUGUUGGUGGGGUAACGGCUCACCAAGGCGACGAUCCCUAGCUGGUCUGAGAGGAUGACCAGCCACAUUGGAACUGAGACACGGACCAGACUCCUACGGGAGGCAGCAGUGGGGAAUAUUGCACAAUGGGCGCGAGCCUGAUGCAGCCAUGCCGCGUGUAUGAAGAAGGCCUUCGGGUUGUAAAGUACUUUCAGCGGGGAGGAAGGGAGUAAAGUUAAUACCUUUGCUCAUUGACGUUACCCGCAGAAGAAGCACCGGCUAACUCCGUG